Molecule: non-coding RNA, 96 nt
Organism: Picea glauca (white spruce)
Lineage: Eukaryota; Viridiplantae; Streptophyta; Pinopsida; Pinales; Pinaceae
Source: Rfam
CCGACCUUAGCUCAGUUGGUAGAGCGGAGGACUGUAGUGGGAUACAAAAUCCUUAUUGGAAUCCUUAGGUCACUGGUUCGAAUCCGGCAGGUCGGA